UACGAGGGCCUCAAGCGUUAUCCGGAAUCACUGGGCGUAAAGGGUCCGUAGGCGGCUAUGUUAGUCUUCUGUGAAAGCCCGAGGCUUAACCUCGGACACGCAGGAGAAACGGCAUAGCUAGAGGGCGUAAGGGGUGCAUAGAACUCUCGGUGUAGGGGUGAAAUCCGUUGAUAUCGAGGGGAAUACCAAAAGCGAAGGCAGUGCACUGGUACGUUUCUGACGCUGAGGGACGAAACCCUGGGUAGCGAAUGGG
RNAcentral lists this unclassified non-coding RNA (253 nucleotides) under uncultured Parcubacteria group bacterium. Its description in RNAcentral is "contains 16S-23S intergenic spacer region". It matches the Rfam family "Bacterial small subunit ribosomal RNA", at positions 524 to 776 of the family's 1533-position model. The record is from RNAcentral.